UACGUAGGGUGCAAGCGUUAAUCGGAAUUACUGGGCGUAAAGCGUGCGCAGGCGGUUAUGUAAGACAGAUGUGAAAUGCCCGGGCUUAACCUGGGAACUGCAUUGGUGACUGGCAGGCUAGAGUAUGGCAGAGGGGGGUAGAAUUCCACGUGUAGCAGUGAAAUGCGUAGAUAUGUGGAGGAGCACCGAUGGCGAAGGCAGCCCCCUGGGUCAAGACUGACGCUCAUGCACGAAAGCGUGGGGAGCAAACAGG
Molecule: ribosomal RNA, 253 nt
Filed under: uncultured bacterium
Lineage: Bacteria
Description: partial 16S ribosomal RNA
Rfam family: Bacterial small subunit ribosomal RNA
Source: RNAcentral